RNAcentral lists this non-coding RNA (96 nucleotides) under Roseivivax marinus. RNAcentral describes it as "Roseivivax atlanticus TPP sequence". It matches the Rfam family "TPP riboswitch aptamer (THI element)". Rfam says of the family: Vitamin B(1) in its active form thiamin pyrophosphate (TPP) is an essential coenzyme that is synthesised by coupling of pyrimidine and thiazole moieties in bacteria. The record is from RNAcentral. Lineage: Bacteria; Pseudomonadati; Pseudomonadota; Alphaproteobacteria; Rhodobacterales; Roseobacteraceae.
UCGUCGCAACAGGGGCGUCCGCCAUGCGCGGGCUGAGAAGCACCCUUCGAACCUGACCCGGAUCAUGCCGGCGGAGGAAGUUGCGGACACGUCCCC